Molecule: ribosomal RNA, 1362 nt
Filed under: uncultured bacterium
Lineage: Bacteria
Description: 16S ribosomal RNA
Rfam family: Bacterial small subunit ribosomal RNA
Source: RNAcentral
GAUGAACGCUAGCGACAGGCUUAACACAUGCAAGUCGAGGGGCAGCAGGGGAGUAGCAAUACUCCCGCUGGCGACCGGCGCACGGGUGAGUAACACGUAUGCAACCUGCCCUUGUCAGGGGGAUAAGCGGAAGAAAUUCCGUCUAAUACCGCAUAAUGCUGCGGGGAGACAUCUCCCUGCAGCCAAAGAUUUAUCGGACAAGGAUGGGCAUGCGGCGCAUUAGCUUGUUGGCGGGGUAACGGCCCACCAAGGCGACGAUGCGUAGGGGUUCUGAGAGGAAGGUCCCCCACACUGGUACUGAGACACGGACCAGACUCCUACGGGAGGCAGCAGUGAGGAAUAUUGGUCAAUGGCCGGGAGGCUGAACCAGCCAAGUCGCGUGAGGGAAGACGGUCCUAUGGAUUGUAAACCUCUUUUGUCAGGGAGCAAAAACUGCCACGUGUGGCAGGAUGAGAGUACCUGAAGAAAAAGCAUCGGCUAACUCCGUGCCAGCAGCCGCGGUAAUACGGAGGAUGCGAGCGUUAUCCGGAUUUAUUGGGUUUAAAGGGUGCGUAGGCGGACAGUUAAGUCAGCGGUAAAAUUGAGAGGCUCAACCUCUUCCCGCCGUUGAAACUGAUUGUCUUGAGUGGGCGAGAAGUAUGCGGAAUGCGUGGUGUAGCGGUGAAAUGCAUAGAUAUCACGCAGAACUCCGAUUGCGAAGGCAGCAUACCGGCGCCCAACUGACGCUGAGGCACGAAAGCGUGGGUAUCGAACAGGAUUAGAUACCCUGGUAGUCCACGCAGUAAACGAUGAAUACUAAUUGUUCGGGUCAAAUGAGAUCUGAGUGAUACAGCGAAAGCGUUAAGUAUUCCACCUGGGGAGUACGCCGGCAACGGUGAAACUCAAAGGAAUUGACGGGGGCCCGCACAAGCGGAGGAACAUGUGGUUUAAUUCGAUGAUACGCGAGGAACCUUACCCGGGCUCAAACGACACAGGAAUGAUCUGAGAAAUCAGGCAGUCCUCCGGGACCUGUGUCGAGGUGCUGCAUGGUUGUCGUCAGCUCGUGCCGUGAGGUGUCGGCUUAAGUGCCAUAACGAGCGCAACCCCCAUCGACAGUUGCCAGCAGGUCAAGCUGGGCACUCUGUCGAGACUGCCGGCGCAAGCUGUGAGGAAGGCGGGGAUGACGUCAAAUCAGCACGGCCCUUACGUCCGGGGCGACACACGUGUUACAAUGGCAGGUACAGCGGGAAGCCACCUGGCGACAGGGAGCGGAACCCGAAAGCCUGUCUCAGUUCGGAUUGGAGUCUGCAACUCGACUCCAUGAAGCUGGAUUCGCUAGUAAUCGCGCAUCAGCCACGGCGCGGUGAAUACGUUCCCGGGCCU